GGAGGGGUAGGAUAUCUUUAAUCCGGUGGGCUCAUGACCCAAUGAAGCUAAGUGGCCCCCUCUU
Molecule: transfer RNA, 64 nt
Filed under: Vasticardium flavum
Lineage: Eukaryota; Metazoa; Mollusca; Bivalvia; Cardiida; Cardiidae
Description: tRNA-Met
Source: RNAcentral